AAUAAACCAAGCCAAGAAAAGCCAAAAGCAUAACGUCUUGCGCUACAGAGAGAGAGGGAGGAGAUGGAGCGAGUGAAGAUAGGAUGUGGGUCUGGCUUGCCUGUCUUGAUGGUGGUCACUUUGGCGGUGGUGCUAAUGGCGGUUUUGGUACCAGAAGUGUCUGCAACUAGAUGGAUUGUAGGAGGUAAUAUGGGCUGGACUACCAAUGUGAAUUAUACUGUUUGGGCUAAAGACAAGCAUUUCUACAAUGGGGAUUGGCUCUUUUUUUGUGUACGAUAGGAACCAGAUGAAUGUGCUAGAGGUGAACAAGACAGAUUAUGAGUCAUGUAACUCUGAUCAUCCUCUUCACAACUGGACUAGGGGAGCCGGAAGAGAUGUGGUUCCACUGAAUGUGACUCGCAACUACUAUUUAAUCAGUGGUAAAGGGUUCUGUUUUGGUGGAAUGAAGCUAGCUGUUCAUGUUGAAAACCCACCUCCCCCUCCUACAGCUGCCUCCUUGAAUGAGAACAGUGCCUCUCCAAGUUUCAAUCUCAGAGGCCAGUAUGUUCUCCCAGCUGUUCUUGCUAUUGGUGCUUUGUGGGAUGCAUUUGUCCACUUCUGGUAGUAGCAUUUUCUAUAGCUUUCUUAUGAGGAUCCAUACCAUCUCCUACAUUUCUUCAACCUAUUUGUGAAGGGAAAUCGAGUUGUCUUCUACAUUUUUUCUUUCUUUCUUUCUUGGGGUGUUGUUUUCUUUAUGGUAGUUUGACCUGAAAUUGGGUUUGUCUUGAUUAAGGUUGUUCAUCUGUGCUUGGUGUUAAUUUAAUCUGCAUCCUUA
Molecule: unclassified non-coding RNA, 814 nt
Filed under: Hevea brasiliensis (rubber tree)
Lineage: Eukaryota; Viridiplantae; Streptophyta; Magnoliopsida; Malpighiales; Euphorbiaceae
Source: RNAcentral